CCCACAACACGUCAUCAUCGAAUACGAGCUCCAGCCAAUGAGCGAGCAGCUGCUUGGUGCCAGUGAGUUUCUGUCUCGAUCGGAUUGUGUUAAAAUACGUUUUGUUUUCUUAUAAAAACAAAAGUCCAGAACACAAAUAUUUUCUUGGCGACUAGUAAGAAACAAAACAAAUCGGGUAUUCGAGACUUGUCUUGUGUGACUAAAAAAGGUGGGACUUUGUACAUGCGCACUGGAGUGCAUCAGCCAGUCUUCUUUGUAAGUUUCACACGUGUUCAUCCAAUGAAAACUUUGAAGGUGUUUGAAACCAACCUGGACGGGUAUCGUUUGUUAUUUUCUGGAGCUCUAAGUGUCUAGGCGAACCCUACAAGAACCCUCGGUUAACAGUACUAAUGCAUCCUGAGGCGAUUCAGGACCAAAUGUCCUGGUCAGUUGGUGAGUGUGUGAGGUGUGGCUCCUGUUCAGGGUGUAUGAAGUUUAUUUCAUUGUAUUGCACAGCAGUACAAUGACAACGUCUUCAAUUCAAUUCAAGUUUGCAUGUUUCUCCCGUUUACCAUCCAGACAUACAUGCCAUGGAAGAAGUCAUUGGCAAGGCAUGUUCUGUUCCUUCUUGCCUUGCAAAUCAUAUGUGGAACACCAAAAACCAGUUAUAGGAACAGAACAUCAUUAUUUUGGCUUUUGAUUAUUUUGGCAACUUUUUUCUGAGAAAUUAUUUAAAUAAAGGAAUCUAAUGGUUUGUACA
This 739-nucleotide long non-coding RNA is filed under the name Scleropages formosus (Asian bonytongue). RNAcentral describes it as "lncRNA (ENSSFOG00015029070.1)". The record is from RNAcentral. Lineage: Eukaryota; Metazoa; Chordata; Actinopteri; Osteoglossiformes; Osteoglossidae.